CAGCAGCCGCGGUAAUACGUAGGGUGCGAGCGUUGUCCGGAAUUACUGGGCGUAAAGAGUUCGUAGGCGGUUUGUCGCGUCGUUCGUGAAAACUUGGGGCUUAACUCCAAGCGUGCGGGCGAUACGGGCAGACUUGAGUACUACAGGGGAGACUGGAAUUCCUGGUGUAGCGGUGAAAUGCGCAGAUAUCAGGAGGAACACCGGUGGCGAAGGCGGGUCUCUGGGUAGUAACUGACGCUGAGGAACGAAAGCGUGGGUAGCGAACAGGAUUAGAUACCCCGGUAGUCCCUGUCUCUUAUAC
RNAcentral lists this ribosomal RNA (301 nucleotides) under uncultured bacterium. Its description in RNAcentral is "partial 16S ribosomal RNA". It matches the Rfam family "Bacterial small subunit ribosomal RNA", at positions 509 to 807 of the family's 1533-position model. The record is from RNAcentral.